Molecule: ribosomal RNA, 492 nt
Filed under: uncultured bacterium
Lineage: Bacteria
Description: bacterial SSU rRNA
Rfam family: Bacterial small subunit ribosomal RNA
Source: RNAcentral
GGCUCAGAUUGAACGCUGGCGGCAUGCCUUACACAUGCAAGUCGAAACGGCAGCACGGGAGCAAUCCUGGUGGCGAGUGGCGAACGGGUGAGUAAUAUAUCGGAACGUGCCCAGUCGUGGGGGAUAACGUAGCGAAAGCUACGCUAAUACCGCAUACGAUCUAUGGAUGAAAGCGGGGGAUCGCAAGACCUCGCGCGAUUGGAGCGGCCGAUAUCAGAUUAGGUAGUUGGUGAGGUAAAGGCUCACCAAGCCGACGAUCUGUAGCUGGUCUGAGAGAACGACCAGCCACACUGGGACUGAGACACGGCCCAGACUCCUACGGGAGGCAGCAGUGGGGAAUUUUGGACAAUGGGCGAAAGCCUGAUCCAGCAAUGCCGCGUGCAGGAAGAAGGCCUUCGGGUUGUAAACUGCUUUUGUACGGAACGAAAAGGUCUGCCCUAAUACGGCGGGCCCAUGACGGUACCGUAAGAAUAAGCACCGGCUAACUACGUG